UAGUAGAAAUUGUGUUAUUGCCACAAUUUUUGCAGGCAUGUUCGGUUUUUAGCUGAUUUUUCUGUCUCUACUUAGUUGAGUGCCUUCUUUCCUUUUGACGAAGUUACGUUUGUUUUCUAUGAUUAACUCCCGUGGCGAUUUGGUUUAUUUGUCUCGUGAGGAUUAAACUAUGGAAAACGUUAGGCUAUUUACACGAUGUAAUCCAUCACCCUGUAGUUUUAACUGCGGUUCUUGUUACCAUAUAAAUAAAUUUAGCUGUGGCUUUUCCCUUGCUGUUCAUUUCCAGACCUUGCAGCAUGUGUUAGUGGGAUCCAUCAAUUACUAAAUUCCACCGCCGUGGCCCAUCUUCUAGUUAACUACCACUGACGAGCUAUUAACUUGACAACAAGAGAAGAAACAAAGUUCAUCUAACCAGAACUCGCCUUUCCACUUUCUUCUGCGGGAACUCCGGCGGAUUGUGCUUCUCUGGGACUCUCCAAAGCGCUCUUUCCCACGAUAGCAGAUCGGGUACUUCUCCAGUCGAAUGAGUAGUCAUAAAGUAUUGACGACUAUGUCCUUUUAGAGUUUCCUAAGAUAAUGCUAAGGUGCUCUUAGCUCGUCAUAUCCUGCUAGUGCUAUAGUAUGUGUACAGUGUACUGAUUUUGGAACCUGAUAACCUCAUAUGCUCUGUGCCUUUUCUUACACGAUUUCUCUAUUACCUGAAAUCCUCGUCAAAUAUGAACCUAUACUUUCAAUGACAUGUUCAAAUAUUGUACAUUAGCGAGUAAAUAAUCCUUUGCUGGUAUAAACGGAUUGCAUCCUUUAAUAAAAAUCUUUUGCUUCAAGGUAUGAUUUUACAGUGACUUGCUCAUGCAUGUUUUAUUUCUUCAAACAGAUGGUUAGUGGCAUUAACAUGGUAGCAAUUGUGGAUAUCACAUGUCAGUAACAGUUUUCCCUUUUUAUCUUUUAGUAAUUGUCGUAUUUUUCCGAUAUAUGAUAUAAUCUGACCUUUUUUGAGAAAGAAAUUCAUGUAACCCUCUCAACUUGUUGUCACUUUGAGUUGAACUUAGUGUUCAAAGUGAAGUUUCCCAGUUUAAGGAGAGCUAACAUGUCAAGAAAAUUUGUUUAUCAUGAAAUGGUGCAAAAGUUGUAAUUUUGUGGGAAAGAGGUUCAUCAGGAGUUUCAUAUGGUGAGUGCAAGACGAAUCAUUCCAUGUCGCAGCUGGACCCUCUUUAGUAAUUCAGCUGAGAUAUUAGCAUUCAUUUUUGACUGCGAGGUAUUGCAUAGUUUACUUCGGCACAGUGGCUGGUGCUCGUGAAGCCUUUUUCCAUGGGGUGCCUUCUAUCUCGUUGUCGUAUGAUCGGCAAGAUGAAACUUAGUUUUCAGUGGCAGUACGCUUAUCAGAACUUGGGUUGGAGGUAGGAGUAAUAUCCAGGGCUUCACACUGUCCGCUGAAGCCUGCAUACCGAUUAUCAGUGCUAUAUCAGCUGAAAUAAAGAGGAACAAUUAUCCCAAAAAACUUUUCUUGAAUAUAGAUGUGCUGACAAAUGUUUCUUACCACAAGGUAAAGCUAAAAGUACAGAGGCAUGAACCACAGUUAAUUUUUGGCUAGAGAAUGUCGUUGUUGGUGGAGUAGAAAUUUGGCAAAACUGCAUAGCAAGGAAAGCAUAUUCAAUGCCUUUGAUCUCUUGAUGUGGUUCAGUGAAAUAGGUCUGCAUCAUCUUUCUGUUUUUGCUGAUAUAGCACUUUCAGAGGCAGUAGCUCUCUCGUUAUUGUGUGUUUUCAAGGUAGACUUUCCUCUCUUAAUAUAUUUCUCUGCAUCUACCUACACUUAGUUUGGUUUGGAGGCCUAUGAGGCUUAAACAUUUUUAGUUUGAUGGUUCUAGCUCUUCUGAUGCCAAACCAAACUAAAAAUGACAUGGACGUCUACGGGGGACAUGUUGUUCAGAUGCUGCUGCCUGUAUGGACAGAAGGACAACCAA
Punica granatum (pomegranate) is the source of this 1961-nucleotide non-coding RNA. NCBI's taxonomy places the organism in Eukaryota, Viridiplantae, Streptophyta, Magnoliopsida, Myrtales, Lythraceae. The record is from RefSeq and is a predicted model, not a curated record.